GUGCUUACAUCAGCAGCACUUGUACUACAUUUGGAAUGACACAGUGAUGAGUAGCCUUUGUGCAAGAAUGGCAUGCAAAUUUGUGAAGCAUUCUAUUAGAUA
Molecule: small nuclear RNA, 102 nt
Filed under: Chinchilla lanigera (long-tailed chinchilla)
Lineage: Eukaryota; Metazoa; Chordata; Mammalia; Rodentia; Chinchillidae
Source: RNAcentral